CCCGAUGAACCUGAAUAUCCGUUAUGGAAAAUUCAUCAUUAAAAAAAUAUAUUAAAUAUAUAAAAUAAACUAUGUGCAAUUUUUCCAUAUAAGGACAUUGUAAUCUGUUAUUGUAUUAUAUAUUUAUCAAAAAAUCUUUAACAUAAGUUUAUUCAAAUUAGUUAUUUUCGGAUUUCUAACAUAGAAUAAUUGUUUUAGAUUUGAUAAAUCAUUGACAGAUUUUAUUAUAUAUAAUGCUUAAAUUCAAUUAAGAAUUUUAUAAUUGUAAUGGAAAUUUAUUUCUAUUAUUAAUUAUAUGCAUUUAUAUGAUUAACAAUGCGAUAGAUUCAGGAUACCUUCGGGACCCGUCUUGAAACACGGACCAAGGAGUCUAACAUAUGUGCAAGUCAUUGGGUAUUUUUAAUAAAACCCAAAGGCAUAAUUAACUUAACUGUUUUUUUAUAAUGGGAUUAGUUUGUAUUUUAUUAUGAAAUAUAAAUUCAAUCCCGGGGCGUUCUAUAUAGUUAUGCAUGAUGAUAUUUAUAUUAUUUAUGCCUCUAACUAGAGCGUACCUUGAGCAUAUAUGCUGUGACCC
Molecule: ribosomal RNA, 574 nt
Filed under: Trichopsomyia sp. MZH:Y1543
Lineage: Eukaryota; Metazoa; Arthropoda; Insecta; Diptera; Syrphidae
Description: eukaryotic LSU rRNA
Source: RNAcentral